GUACUUGUGGCACAUACACUAAGAUUAAGCAAUGCAGAGAAAGUUGGCAUGGCCCCUGUGCAAGAAUGAAACACAAAUGUAUGAUAUGUUUCAUAUUAGG
RNAcentral lists this small nuclear RNA (100 nucleotides) under Meriones unguiculatus (Mongolian gerbil). Lineage: Eukaryota; Metazoa; Chordata; Mammalia; Rodentia; Muridae. The record is from RNAcentral.